RNAcentral lists this ribosomal RNA (137 nucleotides) under uncultured bacterium. RNAcentral describes it as "partial 16S ribosomal RNA". It matches the Rfam family "Bacterial small subunit ribosomal RNA", at positions 355 to 509 of the family's 1533-position model. The record is from RNAcentral.
UGGGGGAUAUUGCACAAUGGGGGGAACCCUGAUGCAGCGACGCCGCGUGGGUGAAGAAGCGCCUCGGCGCGUAAAGCCCUGUCAGCAGGGAAGAAAAUGACGGUACCUAAAGAAGAAGCCCCGGCUAACUACGUGCC